Molecule: ribosomal RNA, 2547 nt
Filed under: Triticum aestivum (bread wheat)
Lineage: Eukaryota; Viridiplantae; Streptophyta; Magnoliopsida; Poales; Poaceae
Description: partial small subunit ribosomal RNA
Source: RNAcentral
AUGGAUUGGCCAGCUCUCACCUGCUACACUGCGGCCCUGAUCAUCCUCUUCCUGCCGUUGCGGGCAUCCGAUGACCGGCUUGUCCCCGGCGAGCGGCUCUUCCCUGGCACCACCAUCGUUUCCGAUGACGGUGCCUUCGCCUUGGGCUUCUUCAGCCCCUCCAACUCCACUCCGGCCAGCCUGUACUUGGGCAUAUGGUACAACGGCAUACCGGAGCUCACCGUCGUGUGGGUCGCCAACAGGGAGACGUCGGUCAUCAACGACACUUCCUCUGCGCCGACACUCUCCCUCACCAACAACUCCAACCUUGUUCUCUCUGAUGCUAGCAGCGGCCGUGUCAUUUGGACGACUGAUGUGGCCGCUGCCUCAAGCUCCAUUGCAGCAGCGGCGGUGCUUGAGAACACCGGCAAUCUCGUCGUUCGGUCGUCGAAUGGCACCACGUUGUGGCAGAGCUUUGACCACGUCACUGACACGUUCCUCCCUGAAAUGAAGAUACGGAUCAGAUAUGCCACCCGUGGCAUCGGCAUCCGUCUGGUGUCCUGGAAGGGGCCCGAGGACCCAUCGCUCGGGCGCUUCUCCUACGGAGGUGACCCGGACACGCUCCUUCAGUUAUUCCUCUGGGAUGGGACGCGCCCGGUGGGCCGCACCAGCCCUUGGACCGGAUACUUGGUAAAAGGCGAGCACCAAUACCGGAAGGUUAACGGCAGCACAGCGGUGAUCAUCUACAUGGCCAUCGUCGACAAUGACGAGGAGAUCUACACCACUUACACUGUCUCUGCCGGUGCCCCACACACAAGGUAUGUGGUGACUUACACUGGAGAUUACCAGCUCCAGAGCUGGAGCACCAGCUCCUCGUCAUGGGUUAUCCUCGCCAAUUGGCCAUCCCCUGAAUGCAACCGAUAUGGCUUCUGUGGUCCGUAUGGCUAUUGUGACCAGACAGCGAUGCCCAUGCCGAUGUGCAAGUGCCUUGACGGCUUCGAGCCAGCAAGCACGGAUGAAUGGGCAGCUGGUAGGUUCUCGGCAGGGUGCCGACGAAAGGAGGCAUUGCACGGAUGCAGUGACAACUUCUUGGCCUUGAUGGAGAUGAAGGCGCCAGACAAGUUCAUGUUUGCUGGAGGAAACAUGAGCACAAUGGAGGAGUGUGCGGCGGAGUGCAGGAACAACUGCUCCUGUGUGGCGUACGCAUACUCCAACCUGAGCAGCGGCAGGUCUGGAGGAGACGUGACAAGGUGCUUAGUAUGGGCGGGGGAGUUGAUUGACACCGGGAGGUUCGCCGAAGGGCUUGGCAGCGCCACGCUAUAUCUCCGCCUUGCAGGCUUAGAUGUAGCAGCUGGUAAAAGGAGAAAGAGUACUGCAACUAUAAUUAUGCUGGCAAUUUUAGGAACUGGAGCUGUGGUAUUCCUAUGCAUUUUCGUGGCAUGGCUAAAAUUCAAAGGCAAGAAAAAAUGGAGAAAACACAAGAAGGCAACAUUUGAUAGUAUGAGUACCUCUUAUGAACUUGGGGAAGGAAACCCACCACAUGCCCAUGAAUUUCCAUUUGUAAGUUUUGACGAAAUUUCUCUAGCAACGAACAAUUUCUCCAAGACAUGUAUGAUUGGACAGGGAGGAUUUGGCAAGGUCUACAAGGGAUUAUUAGGUGGACAAGAAGUUGCUGUCAAGAGACUAAGUAGUGACUCUCAGCAAGGAGUAAAGGAGUUCAGGAACGAAGUAAUUCUGAUUGCUAAAUUGCAACACAGAAACUUGGUUCGGCUUCUUGGAUGUUGUGGAGAGGGAGAUGAAAAGUUGUUGAUCUAUGAGUAUCUUCCGAACAAAAGCUUAGAUGCUACCCUUUUUGAUGAUUCAAGAAGAUUGAUGUUGGAUUGGACAACACGGUUUAAUAUUAUCAAAGGGGUUGCAAGGGGACUUUUGUAUCUUCACCAGGAUUCAAGGCUAACUAUAAUUCACAGGGAUCUCAAAGCUGGAAAUGUUUUGCUGGAUGUGGAGAUGAAACCCAAGAUAGCAGACUUUGGUAUGGCGAGGAUCUUUGGCGAUAACCAACAAAAUGCGAGCACCCAACGUGUUGUGGGAACAUAUGGAUACAUGGCCCCAGAAUAUGCAAUGGAAGGCGUCUUCUCCACCAAGUCCGAUGUCUACAGCUUUGGUGUGCUAGUACUUGAGGUUGUGACUGGUAUAAAAAGAAGCUCCAAUAGUCACAUCAUGGGCUUCCCGAGCCUCAUUGUGUAUUCAUGGAAUAUGUGGAGGGAAGGAAAGACAGAGGAUUUGGUGGACACAUAUAUCAUGGAUACUUGUUCACUGGAUGAAGUUUUGAUUUGCAUCCAUGUAGCACUCCUGUGUGUCCAGGACAAUCCAGAUGACAGGCCACUCAUGUCGUCCGUUGUGUUCGUCCUAGAGAACGGAAGCAGCACACUUCCACCCCCUACUUGUCCUGCCUACUUUACACGAAGAAGCGCCUACUUUACACGACGAAGCGCAGAAAUGGAGCAAAUUAGAGAUGAUAUCCUGAACUCUGGGACUAGUUUUACUCUCACUGAGAUUGAGAGGAGAUGA